AAGGCUUUAGCUUAAUUAAAGUACUUGAGUUGCAGUCAAAAUAUAUGAGGUAAAAUCUCGUAAGUCUUA
This 69-nucleotide transfer RNA is filed under the name Geotrypetes seraphini (Gabon caecilian). It matches the Rfam family "tRNA". From Rfam's summary of the family: Transfer RNA (tRNA) molecules are approximately 80 nucleotides in length. Their secondary structure includes four short double-helical elements and three loops (D, anti-codon, and T loops). The record is from Rfam by way of RNAcentral. Lineage: Eukaryota; Metazoa; Chordata; Amphibia; Gymnophiona; Dermophiidae.